RNAcentral lists this ribosomal RNA (704 nucleotides) under uncultured bacterium. RNAcentral describes it as "bacterial SSU rRNA". It matches the Rfam family "Bacterial small subunit ribosomal RNA", at positions 162 to 893 of the family's 1533-position model. The record is from RNAcentral.
GCUAAUACCCCAUAUGCUUUCGAGUGAAAUGGAUUUUUCCGCCUAGAGAGAAGCUUGCGCCUGAUUAGCUUGUUGGUAAGGUAAUGGCUUACCAAGGCGACGAUCAGUAUCUGGUUUGAGAGGAUGAUCAGACACACUGGAACUGAGACACGGUCCAGACUCCUACGGGAGGCAGCAGUGGGGAAUUUUCCGCAAUGGGCGAAAGCCUGACGGAGCAAUCUCGCGUGAGGGAUGACGGCCUAUGGGUUGUAAACCUCUUUUUUCAGGGAGGAAUAAAAUGACGUGUACCUGAAGAAUAAGCAUCGGCUAACUCCGUGCCAGCAGCCGCGGUAAGACGGAGGAUGCAAGUGUUAUCCGGAAUCACUGGGCGUAAAGCGUCUGUAGGUGGUUUAGUAAGUCAACUGUUAAAUCUUGGAGCUUAACUUCAAAAUCGCAGUCGAAACUGCUAGACUAGAGUAUAGUAGGGGUAAAGGGAAUUUCCAGUGGAGCGGUGAAAUGCGUAGAGAUUGGAAAGAACACCGAUGGCGAAGGCACUUUACUGGGCUAUUACUGACACUCAGAGACGAAAGCUAGGGUAGCAAAUGGGAUUAGAUACCCCAGUAGUCCUAGCCGUAAACAAUGGAUACUAGAUGUUGAACAGAUCGACCUGUGCAGUAUUAAAGCUAACGCGUUAAGUAUCCCGCCUGGGAAGUAUGCUCGCAAGA